GACGAACGCUGGCGGCGUGCCUAAUACAUGCAAGUAGAACGCUGAAGAGAGGAGCUUACUCUUCUUGGAUGAGUUGCGAACGGGUGAGUAACGCGUAGGUAACCUGCCUUGUAGCGGGGGAUAGCUAUUGGAAACGAUAGCUAAUACCGCAUAACAAUGGAUGACACAUGUCAUUUAUUUGAAAGGGGCAAUUGCUCCACUACAAGAUGGACCUGCGUUGUAUUAGCUAGUAGGUGAGGUAAUGGCUCACCUAGGCGACGAUACAUAGCCGACCUGAGAGGGUGAUCGGCCACACUGGGACUGAGACACGGCCCAGACUCCUACGGGAGGCAGCAGUAGGGAAUCUUCGGCAAUGGGGGCAACCCUGACCGAGCAACGCCGCGUGAGUGAAGAAGGUUUUCGGAUCGUAAAGCUCUGUUGUAAGUCAAGAACGGGUGUGAGAGUGGAAAGUUCACACUGUGACGGUAGCUUACCAGAAAGGGACGGCUAACUACGUG
Molecule: ribosomal RNA, 497 nt
Filed under: uncultured bacterium
Lineage: Bacteria
Description: partial 16S ribosomal RNA
Rfam family: Bacterial small subunit ribosomal RNA
Source: RNAcentral